UGGGGAAUCUUGCACAAUGGGGGCAACCCUGAUGCAGCGACGCCGCGUGAGCGAUGAAGCCCUUCGGGGCGUAAAGCUCUUUCGACCGGAACGAUAAUGACGGUACCGGGAGAAGAAGCUGCGGCUAACUACGUGCCAGCAGCCGCGGUAAUACGUAGGGUGCGAGCGUUAAUCGGAAUUACUGGGCGUAAAGCGUGCGCAGGCGGUCUUGCAAGACAGUGGUGAAAUCCCCGGGCUCAACCUGGGAACUGCCAUUGUGACUGCAAGGCUGGAGUACGGCAGAGGGGGAUGGAAUUCCGCGUGUAGCAGUGAAAUGCGUAGAUAUGCGGAGGAACACCGAUGGCGAAGGCAGUCCCCUGGGCCUGUACUGACGCUCAUGCACGAAAGCGUGGGGAGCAAACA
This 402-nucleotide ribosomal RNA is filed under the name uncultured bacterium. RNAcentral describes it as "bacterial SSU rRNA". It matches the Rfam family "Bacterial small subunit ribosomal RNA", at positions 355 to 774 of the family's 1533-position model. The record is from RNAcentral.